AUUGAACGCUGGCGGCAGGCCUAACACAUGCAAGUCGAACGAGUGGCGGACGGGUGAGUAAUGUCUGGGAAACUGCCUGAUGGAGGGGGAUAACUACUGGAAACGGUAGCUAAUACCGCAUACCAUCGGAUGUGCCCCGAUGGGCUUAGCUAGUAGGUGGGGUAACGGCUCACCUAGGCGACGAUCCCUAGCUGGUCUGCGAGGAUGACCAGCCACCCUGGAACUGAGACACGGUCCAGACUCCUAGGGGAGGCAGCAGUGGGGAAUCUUGGGCAAUGGAAGAAAGUCUGACCGAGCCAUGCCGCGUGAAUGAAGAAGGUUUUCGGGUUGUAAAGCUCUGUUGUUAGGGAGGCGUUAUCUGACGAAGAAGCGACGGCUAACUACGUGCCAGCAGCCGCGGUAAUAC
RNAcentral lists this ribosomal RNA (406 nucleotides) under uncultured bacterium. RNAcentral's name for it is "partial 16S ribosomal RNA". It matches the Rfam family "Bacterial small subunit ribosomal RNA", at positions 30 to 526 of the family's 1533-position model. The record is from RNAcentral.